AUACGUAGGGUGCAAGCGUUGUCCGGAUUUAUUGGGCGUAAAGAGCUCGUAGGCGGUUAGUCACGUCGGAUGUGAAAUCCCAGUGCUUAACACUGGGCCUGCAUUCGAUACGGGCUGACUAGAGUGUUGUAGGGGAGACUGGAACUCCUGGUGUAGCGGUGAAAUGCGCAGAUAUCAGGAAGAACACCGGUGGCGAAGGCGGGUCUCUGGGCAACUACUGACGCUGAGGAGCGAAAGCGUGGGGAGCAAACAGGAUUAGAUACCCUGGUAGUCCACGCCGUAAACGGUGGGCGCUAGGUGUGGGGAACAUUCCACGUUCUCCGUGCCGCAGCUAACGCAUUAAGCGCCCCGCCUGGGGAGUACGGCCGCAAGGCUAAA
Molecule: ribosomal RNA, 378 nt
Filed under: uncultured bacterium
Lineage: Bacteria
Description: bacterial SSU rRNA
Rfam family: Bacterial small subunit ribosomal RNA
Source: RNAcentral